AUGGAGCCUGCCCCAACUGUGAAGCUCCAAUCCAUCCCAGAAGAACUUACCCAACCUUGCCUUGAAACUCAAACUCCUGGAAUCCCAGGAGGUCAUACCCUCUGUGACAUCUGUAUGAUUCUCUACUAUUCAUUGGAUUGCCCAACUCUAACUUUUGCCCAUUGUUCUGAUCCGGAGGCAAGCUCGCUGAUCUCUCUGUCUCCACAACUAGGUGAUGUUCCCUUUGAUCCUGAAUUAAAUAUAAAGAUUCAGUGGAGAGUUGAAGUAUGCCGAAGAUUUAUCACAACCAACGGGAAACUGGGGAAAUAAAUUCAGGUAGGUGGUAACCAGGAACUUUCAUGGAGCAGAGAGGCUUCCCCACAGCAUUUGCUCCUGGAAUGCUAAGAUGUUCCAGUUUUGUUGUGCAAAUGGCUCAAGCAGAUGAAACUGUGUUUAUGUCACCUGAGGAAAUAACCUUCAAAGAGCCUAAGUUUUCCCUGCGUCCAGAGAGAAAGACACGGUGAACAGAGCAAUCUGAAACAUAGUGUGUGUCCCGUCUGCAGUCUUUCUUUCCUCCAUCAAGCUGCUUCUGGUCAUUUCCCAACAAUGUAUCGUGGAAACAUAUGUAUGUAACAUAUUUUAAGGGCAAAUGAGAAAUGCUCCAUCGUCCUGCUUCAAGAAGUUAAUGGGAUCCAAUAAAUUCUUUUGCAAAUGUUUUCCUUCUCA
Molecule: long non-coding RNA, 705 nt
Filed under: Vulpes vulpes (red fox)
Lineage: Eukaryota; Metazoa; Chordata; Mammalia; Carnivora; Canidae
Description: lncRNA (ENSVVUG00000025492.1)
Source: RNAcentral